AGUGAACGCUGGCGGUAGGCCUAACACAUGCAAGUCGAACGGCAGCACAGUAAGAGCUUGCUCUUACGGGUGGCGAGUGGCGGACGGGUGAGGAAUACAUCGGAAUCUACUUUUUCGUGGGGGAUAACGUAGGGAAACUUACGCUAAUACCGCAUACGACCUACGGGUGAAAGCAGGGGAUCUUCGGACCUUGUGCGAUUGAAUGAGCUGAUGUCGGAUUAGCUAGUUGGCGGGGUAAAGGCCCACCAAGGCGACGAUCCGUAGCUGGUCUGAGAGGAUGAUCAGCCACACUGGAACUGAGACACGGUCCAGACUCCUACGGGAGGCAGCAGUGGGGAAUAUUGGACAAUGGGCGCAAGCCUGAUCCAGCCAUACCGCGUGGGUGAAGAAGGCCUUCGGGUUGUAAAGCCCUUUUGUUGGGAAAGAAAAGCAGCAGGUUAAUACCCCGCUGUUCUGACGGUACCCAAAGAAUAAGCACCGGCUAACUUCGUG
RNAcentral lists this ribosomal RNA (492 nucleotides) under uncultured bacterium. RNAcentral's name for it is "partial 16S ribosomal RNA". It matches the Rfam family "Bacterial small subunit ribosomal RNA", at positions 29 to 507 of the family's 1533-position model. The record is from RNAcentral.